Molecule: transfer RNA, 69 nt
Filed under: Rattus norvegicus (Norway rat)
Lineage: Eukaryota; Metazoa; Chordata; Mammalia; Rodentia; Muridae
Rfam family: tRNA
About the family: Transfer RNA (tRNA) molecules are approximately 80 nucleotides in length. Their secondary structure includes four short double-helical elements and three loops (D, anti-codon, and T loops). Further hydrogen bonds mediate the characteristic L-shaped molecular structure. tRNAs have two regions of fundamental functional importance: the anti-codon, which is responsible for specific mRNA codon recognition, and the 3' end, to which the tRNAs corresponding amino acid is attached (by aminoacyl-tRNA synthetases). tRNAs cope with the degeneracy of the genetic code in two manners: having more than one tRNA (with a specific anti-codon) for a particular amino acid; and 'wobble' base-pairing, i.e. permitting non-standard base-pairing at the 3rd anti-codon position.
Source: Rfam by way of RNAcentral
GGGGAUUUGGCUCAGUGGUUGAGCGCUUGCCUAGCAAGCGCAAGGCCCUGGGUUCGGUUCCCAGCUCCA